Molecule: ribosomal RNA, 190 nt
Filed under: uncultured Paraglomus
Lineage: Eukaryota; Fungi; Glomeromycota; Glomeromycetes; Paraglomerales; Paraglomeraceae
Description: partial 18S ribosomal RNA
Rfam family: Eukaryotic small subunit ribosomal RNA
Source: RNAcentral
AUUACGUCCCUGCCCUUUGUACACACCGCCCGUCGCUACUACCGAUUGAAUGGCUUAGUGAGACUUUCGGAUGUGUUUGGAGCCGCUGGCAACAGUGACACCUUGCGCAGAAGUUAUUCAAACUUGGUCAUUUAGAGGAAGUAAAAGUCGUAACAAGGUUUCCGUAGGUGAACCUGCGGAAGGAUCAUUA